UACGUAGGGACCGAGCGUUGUCCGGAAUCAUUGGGCGUAAAGAGCGUGUAGGCGGCCAAACAGGUCAGCUGUGAAAACUCGAGGCUCAACCUCGAGACGUCGGUUGAAACCGUUUGGCUAGAGUCCGGAAGAGGAGAGUGGAAUUCCCGGUGUAGCGGUGAAAUGCGCAGAUAUCGGGAAGAACACCCGUGGCGAAGGCGGCUCUCUGGGACGGUACUGACGCUGAGACGCGAAAGCGUGGGAGCGAACAGG
RNAcentral lists this ribosomal RNA (252 nucleotides) under uncultured bacterium. RNAcentral's name for it is "partial 16S ribosomal RNA". It matches the Rfam family "Bacterial small subunit ribosomal RNA", at positions 524 to 776 of the family's 1533-position model. The record is from RNAcentral.